CACGUACACAACCUCCCUCUUACUGGGGUACAACCUUGAGAAAUCAGGGCUAAUUCCCCUUACGAUUCCGAGAAGGCAUCUGAACGGAAUGAAAGCUCAGGCGGUGAGAGAUGGGUGUGCGUCUGAUUAGCUAGUUGGUUGAGGUAACGGCUCACCAAGGCGACGAUCAGUAACUGGUGUGAGAGCACGACCAGUCACACGGGCACUGAGAUACGGGCCCG
RNAcentral lists this ribosomal RNA (221 nucleotides) under uncultured bacterium. RNAcentral's name for it is "partial 16S ribosomal RNA". It matches the Rfam family "Bacterial small subunit ribosomal RNA", at positions 114 to 334 of the family's 1533-position model. The record is from RNAcentral.